CAGGCGAUCCGCGUCGGUCGUGCGAGGGUGGUAUGGUUCCCCCAGAGGCCGGUUCUUGUGCUGCCUACCCCUUCAGGGGAAUCGGGCCACUCGAUGUAAGCCUCCAUCCGGCGCCUUCCAACGGGCGCAGGAGGACAACAGGGCACCCCCCGCGUUCCACCGAGCCUCCUCGGUCGCGUGGCCCGCGGGGACGUGCGACGCUCUCGGACCCAGCGAACGCCGUGGGCGAGGACUCACGUCCCAGUCCCGAAAAGAAGCUCCGAUAUAAUGCAAGACGGCCGCUCCCGCCCCCCCGGGGGCGAGGCGCGGCGUCGCAGAGGAAUGCUACCUGGUU
RNAcentral lists this unclassified non-coding RNA (334 nucleotides) under Acacia melanoxylon. Its description in RNAcentral is "contains external transcribed spacer and 18S ribosomal RNA". Lineage: Eukaryota; Viridiplantae; Streptophyta; Magnoliopsida; Fabales; Fabaceae. The record is from RNAcentral.